RNAcentral lists this ribosomal RNA (2905 nucleotides) under Salmonella enterica subsp. enterica. RNAcentral's name for it is "23S ribosomal RNA". It matches the Rfam family "Bacterial large subunit ribosomal RNA". The record is from RNAcentral. Lineage: Bacteria; Pseudomonadati; Pseudomonadota; Gammaproteobacteria; Enterobacterales; Enterobacteriaceae.
GGUUAAGCGACUAAGCGUACACGGUGGAUGCCCUGGCAGUCAGAGGCGAUGAAGGACGUGCUAAUCUGCGAUAAGCGCCGGUAAGGUGAUAUGAACCGUUAUAACCGGCGAUUUCCGAAUGGGGAAACCCAGUGUGACUCGUCACACUAUCAUUAACUGAAUCCAUAGGUUAAUGAGGCGAACCGGGGGAACUGAAACAUCUAAGUACCCCGAGGAAAAGAAAUCAACCGAGAUUCCCCCAGUAGCGGCGAGCGAACGGGGAGGAGCCCAGAGCCUGAAUCAGCAUGUGUGUUAGUGGAAGCGUCUGGAAAGGCGCGCGAUACAGGGUGACAGCCCCGUACACAAAAGCGCAUGUGCUGUGAGCUCGAUGAGUAGGGCGGGACACGUGGUAUCCUGUCUGAAUAUGGGGGGACCAUCCUCCAAGGCUAAAUACUCCUGACUGACCGAUAGUGAACCAGUACCGUGAGGGAAAGGCGAAAAGAACCCCGGCGAGGGGAGUGAAAAAGAACCUGAAACCGUGUACGUACAAGCAGUGGGAGCACCCUUUGGGGUGUGACUGCGUACCUUUUGUAUAAUGGGUCAGCGACUUAUAUUCUGUAGCAAGGUUAACCGAAUAGGGGAGCCGGAGGGAAACCGAGUCUUAAUUGGGCGUUAAGUUGCAGGGUAUAGACCCGAAACCCGGUGAUCUAGCCAUGGGCAGGUUGAAGGUUGGGUAACACUAACUGGAGGACCGAACCGACUAAUGUUGAAAAAUUAGCGGAUGACCUGUGGCUGGGGGUGAAAGGCCAAUCAAACCGGGAGAUAGCUGGUUCUCCCCGAAAGCUAUUUAGGUAGCGCCUCGUGAAUUCAUCUCCGGGGGUAGAGCACUGUUUCGGCUAGGGGGCCAUCCCGGCUUACCAACCCGAUGCAAACUGCGAAUACCGGAGAAUGUUAUCACGGGAGACACACGGCGGGUGCUAACGUCCGUCGUGAAGAGGGAAACAACCCAGACCGCCAGCUAAGGUCCCAAAGUCAUGGUUAAGUGGGAAACGAUGUGGGAAGGCCCAGACAGCCAGGAUGUUGGCUUAGAAGCAGCCAUCAUUUAAAGAAAGCGUAAUAGCUCACUGGUCGAGUCGGCCUGCGCGGAAGAUGUAACGGGGCUAAACCAUGCACCGAAGCUGCGGCAGCGACACUAUGUGUUGUUGGGUAGGGGAGCGUUCUGUAAGCCUGUGAAGGUGGCCUGUGAGGGUUGCUGGAGGUAUCAGAAGUGCGAAUGCUGACAUAAGUAACGAUAAAGCGGGUGAAAAGCCCGCUCGCCGGAAGACCAAGGGUUCCUGUCCAACGUUAAUCGGGGCAGGGUGAGUCGACCCCUAAGGCGAGGCCGAAAGGCGUAGUCGAUGGGAAACGGGUUAAUAUUCCCGUACUUGGUGUUACUGCGAAGGGGGGACGGAGAAGGCUAUGUUGGCCGGGCGACGGUUGUCCCGGUUUAAGCGUGUAGGUGUGUGUUCCAGGUAAAUCCGGUUCACUUUAACACUGAGGCGUGAUGACGAGGCACUACGGUGCUGAAGCAACAAAUGCCCUGCUUCCAGGAAAAGCCUCUAAGCAUCAGGUAACAUCAAAUCGUACCCCAAACCGACACAGGUGGUCAGGUAGAGAAUACCAAGGCGCUUGAGAGAACUCGGGUGAAGGAACUAGGCAAAAUGGUGCCGUAACUUCGGGAGAAGGCACGCUGACACGUAGGUGAAGUGAUUUACUCAUGGAGCUGAAGUCAGUCGAAGAUACCAGCUGGCUGCAACUGUUUAUUAAAAACACAGCACUGUGCAAACACGAAAGUGGACGUAUACGGUGUGACGCCUGCCCGGUGCCGGAAGGUUAAUUGAUGGGGUCAGCGCAAGCGAAGCUCCUGAUCGAAGCCCCGGUAAACGGCGGCCGUAACUAUAACGGUCCUAAGGUAGCGAAAUUCCUUGUCGGGUAAGUUCCGACCUGCACGAAUGGCGUAAUGAUGGCCAGGCUGUCUCCACCCGAGACUCAGUGAAAUUGAACUCGCUGUGAAGAUGCAGUGUACCCGCGGCAAGACGGAAAGACCCCGUGAACCUUUACUAUAGCUUGACACUGAACAUUGAGCCUUGAUGUGUAGGAUAGGUGGGAGGCUUUGAAGUGUGGACGCCAGUCUGCAUGGAGCCGGCCUUGAAAUACCACCCUUUAAUGUUUGAUGUUCUAACGUGGACCCGUGAUCCGGGUUGCGGACAGUGUCUGGUGGGUAGUUUGACUGGGGCGGUCUCCUCCUAAAGAGUAACGGAGGAGCACGAAGGUUGGCUAAUCCUGGUCGGACAUCAGGAGGUUAGUGCAAUGGCAUAAGCCAGCUUGACUGCGAGCGUGACGGCGCGAGCAGGUGCGAAAGCAGGUCAUAGUGAUCCGGUGGUUCUGAAUGGAAGGGCCAUCGCUCAACGGAUAAAAGGUACUCCGGGGAUAACAGGCUGAUACCGCCCAAGAGUUCAUAUCGACGGCGGUGUUUGGCACCUCGAUGUCGGCUCAUCACAUCCUGGGGCUGAAGUAGGUCCCAAGGGUAUGGCUGUUCGCCAUUUAAAGUGGUACGCGAGCUGGGUUUAGAACGUCGUGAGACAGUUCGGUCCCUAUCUGCCGUGGGCGCUGGAGAACUGAGGGGGGCUGCUCCUAGUACGAGAGGACCGGAGUGGACGCAUCACUGGUGUUCGGGUUGUCAUGCCAAUGGCACUGCCCGGUAGCUAAAUGCGGAAGAGAUAAGUGCUGAAAGCAUCUAAGCACGAAACUUGCCCCGAGAUGAGUUCUCCCUGAGACUUAGAGUCUCCUGAAGGAACGUUGAAGACGACGACGUUGAUAGGCCGGGUGUGUAAGCGCAGCGAUGCGUUGAGCUAACCGGUACUAAUGAACCGUGAGGCUUAACCUU